CUGGGAAACUGCGUGAUGGAGGGGGAUAACUACUGGAAACGGUAGCUAAUACCGCAUAAUGUCGCAAGACCAAAGAGGGGGACCUUCGGGCCUCUUGCCAUCAGAUGUGCCCAGAUGGGAUUAGCUAGUAGGUGGGGUAACGGCUCACCUAGGCGACGAUCCCUAGCUGGUCUGAGAGGAUGACCAGCCACACUGGAACUGAGACACGGUCCAGACUCCUACGGGAGGCAGCAGUGGGGAAUAUUGCACAAUGGGCGCAAGCCUGAUGCAGCCAUGCCGCGUGUAUGAAGAAGGCCUUCGGGUUGUAAAGUACUUUCAGCGAGGAGGAAGGCGUUAGGGUUAAUAACCCUAGCGAUUGACGUUACUCGCAGAAGAAGCACCGGCUAACUCCGUGCCAGCAGCCGCGGUAAUACGGAGGGUGCAAGCGUUAAUCGGAAUUACUGGGCGUAAAGCGCACGCAGGCGGUCUGUCAAGUCGGAUGUGAAAUCCCCGGGCUCAACCUGGGAACUGCAUUCGAAACUGGCAGGCUAGAGUCUUGUAGAGGGGGGUAGAAUUCCAGGUGUAGCGGUGAAAUGCGUAGAGAUCUGGAGGAAUACCGGUGGCGAAGGCGGCCCCCUGGACAAAGACUGACGCUC
RNAcentral lists this ribosomal RNA (635 nucleotides) under Enterobacter roggenkampii. Its description in RNAcentral is "bacterial SSU rRNA". It matches the Rfam family "Bacterial small subunit ribosomal RNA", at positions 117 to 748 of the family's 1533-position model. The record is from RNAcentral. Lineage: Bacteria; Pseudomonadati; Pseudomonadota; Gammaproteobacteria; Enterobacterales; Enterobacteriaceae.